UCGCCGCCGCGUACGGCAGCCUAGCAUAACGUUGGUCAUUGAGUUCUCACCAAUUUACCCUUUAAACGAGUGGCCGAGGUAUAUUUUACCCUGGAGAUGUGUGAAAUAGCGGUUUGGCGAUAUGACGUUUCAGGUCAGGUCGUCGCUGCCGAAGCUUUUAAUGUAUGAGAGAAGUUCAAAUGACAGCGGCCUUGAUGGAUUUCGUUCUCCAGGCAGGAGACAAAAUGUUGAUCAGAGGAGCAAGUUUCCACUUAUCAAACCGCUCGGCAGUGAGACUUUGCAGGGGACCAGAACUGUGAUUCCUCCGCUGCAUACUGACCAUCUCCACAGACCUGGCAACUUACGUCCCUACAAUCUCUCCAAGGAGCUUUUCCACAGCCAUGCAGCGCGGCUCUGCACCCUGAGGUGCCAAAUGUGGACACGCCUCAUAGAUGUUCCAGAGAAGAUGUGAAAAUUAGUGCUUUUAAUGUGUGAACUGAAGCAAAAUCCAGCCAUCCUCUUUCCUUCAACUUUAGUCCUCAAAGGCAGAAGCCCCUUCUCAAUGCAGAGCUGCAAGUUCAGCAGGCCGAAGGUGGAUUAUCCAGUCUUCAACCUGCUGCCUUUUGGAGACAAGAUGAAAGACCAGUCGUAUCCGGAUCCGAUUAUUGGAGCCUCUCGCUCUUUCAUUCACAGGAUAUCUGAGCUGUUGUCUUUAGAGGGCGACACGGUAAGACAGGAGAAGCUCAAGAAAACACGGAAACAUAAAAAACAUCCAUCCUGACAGUUACCUUUCCCCAAACCACACUGGCUGAGGGUCAACACUUUGCACACUGUGCCAAGUUUGUCUGAACAAACAAAAACAUUUCAGUCAGCCUGGUCCUUUCGGUGGCUCGUGAUCACUGC
Thalassophryne amazonica is the source of this 882-nucleotide RNA transcript. RefSeq lists it as uncharacterized. The transcript is spliced from 5 exons. The record is from RefSeq and is a predicted model, not a curated record. NCBI's taxonomy places the organism in Eukaryota, Metazoa, Chordata, Actinopteri, Batrachoidiformes, Batrachoididae.